AAAUAAAUCCAUGUUGUUUGGCAGCCAAUGCCUUCAUCAGAGAAGGUUAACAAAGAGUCAACAUCAGCCCUAACAUUUGAUGAACUUUAGGUUAAUACACAUUUGAUGAAAACAUGUGUAGAACCAUCUGAGAAACAUUACACUCAAUCUAGUUAAAAUUCAAUUUCUGCACUUGCGACAUAUAAACAACGAGGAGCAAGUGCGGAGAUUUAAUUUUAAUUAGAUUGCAUUACACCCUAUUGUACAUACACAUGUUGGAAAUCUUAGUUUUGACUAAAUCUUGGAAAACUUCUGAUAGUUUUGGCUGUAGUUGACAUUGGUCACAUGCAUGGAUCAACAUUAAUUUUUGUUAGGAUGUGACAGUGUAACUCACACAAAUUUAUUUCUAUUCAUAACAAAUCUAUUUUGGUCCAAGGUUUUGUCCUAAGUUUUGUAGCCUUUUAAAAAAAAUCUACAAAUGAAUUAUGCUCUUGCACAACUGAUAAGAAACCAUAACCCUAUAACAAAGCUAAUAACAUCCUCAACAACCAUUGGGUAGAACUAUUGCUACUCUAAAAUUUACAUUUAUACAUUCAAUACAUAUCUGAUUUAUGCUCUGGUUCCCAUUAAAAACCCAAACUUUAUAUACAGACAUAAACUCAUUUCAUUGCAACUUCUUAUUCCAAUUAGAAUUUCACCAAGAAUUAUUCAUUAUAAAACUCACUUUUUUUCAGGUUAAUCAAAAUUGCUCAAACUUUCUAUCCAAAAAUCACCUGAAUCAAAUCUAAGCAAUUUG
RNAcentral lists this long non-coding RNA (775 nucleotides) under Mytilus galloprovincialis (Mediterranean mussel). Lineage: Eukaryota; Metazoa; Mollusca; Bivalvia; Mytilida; Mytilidae. The record is from RNAcentral.